This 816-nucleotide ribosomal RNA is filed under the name uncultured archaeon. RNAcentral describes it as "bacterial SSU rRNA". It matches the Rfam family "Archaeal small subunit ribosomal RNA", at positions 53 to 875 of the family's 1478-position model. The record is from RNAcentral.
GCGAGUCUUUGUAGUAAUACAAGGCAUACGGCUCAGUAACGCGUAGUCAACCUACCCUAUGGACAAGAAUAAUCUCGGGAAACUGAGCAUAAUUCUUGAUAGAUCAUAAUGCCUGGAAUGGUUUAUGGUUAAAAUGAUUCGUCGCCAUAGGAUGGGACUGCGGCCUAUCAGCUUGUUGGUGAGGUAAUGGCCCACCAAGGCGAUAACAAGUACGGGCUCUGAGAGGAGAAGCCCGGAGAUGGGUACUGAGACAAGGACCCAGGCCCUAUGGGGCGCAGCAGGCGAGAAAACUUUGCAAUGUGCGAAAGCACGACAAGGUUAGUCCGAGUGAUUUCUGCUAAAGAGAUCUUUUGCUAGUUAUAAAACCACUAGUGAAUAAGGGGUGGGCAAGUUCUGGUGUCAGCCGCCGCGGUAAAACCAGCACCUCAAGUGGUCAGGAUGAUUAUUGGGCCUAAAGCAUCCGUAGCCGGCUCUGUAAGUUUUCGGUUAAAUCUAUGCGCUCAACGUAUGGGCUGCCGAAAAUACUGCAGAGAUAGGGAGUGGGAGAGGUAGACGGUACUCGGUAGGAAGGGGUAAAAUCCUUUGACCUAUCGAUGACCACCUGUGGCGAAGGCGGUCUACCAGAACACGUUCGACGGUGAGGGAUGAAAGCUGGGGGAGCAAACCGGAUUAGAUACCCGGGUAGUCCCAGCUGUAAACGAUGCAGACUCGAUGAUGCAUUGGCAUAUAGCCAGUGCAGUGUCGCAGGGAAGCCGUUAAGUCUGCCGCCUGGGAAGUACGUACGCAAGUAUGAAACUUAAAGGAAUUGGCGGGGGA